Molecule: transfer RNA, 82 nt
Filed under: uncultured Thermomicrobiales bacterium
Lineage: Bacteria; Pseudomonadati; Thermomicrobiota; Thermomicrobia; Thermomicrobiales
Description: tRNA-Leu-CAA
Rfam family: tRNA
About the family: Transfer RNA (tRNA) molecules are approximately 80 nucleotides in length.
Source: RNAcentral
GCCGGAGUGGCGGAAUGGCAGACGCACCGCACUCAAAAUGCGGCGGGAAACCGUGGGGGUUCGAAUCCCCCCUCCGGCACCU